ACAGUGAUUCCGUACGAUCACUGAAGUUAAGCAACGUCGAGUCUGGUUAAUACUUUGAUGGGCAACCGCUUGGGAAUACCAGGCGCUGUAAG
Non-coding RNA from Acanthosepion pharaonis, 92 nucleotides. NCBI's taxonomy places the organism in Eukaryota, Metazoa, Mollusca, Cephalopoda, Sepiida, Sepiidae. The record is from the annotation of a GenBank genome assembly.